This 341-nucleotide ribosomal RNA is filed under the name Nematoda environmental sample. RNAcentral's name for it is "SSU rRNA". It matches the Rfam family "Eukaryotic small subunit ribosomal RNA", at positions 1300 to 1665 of the family's 1831-position model. Lineage: Eukaryota; Metazoa; Nematoda. The record is from RNAcentral.
CGUGGAUCGAUUUGUCUGGUUUAUUCCGAUAACGAGCGAGACUCUAGCCUACUAAAUAGUAGCGGGAUUGCUACUGUCCUAGCUGCUUCUUAGAGGGAUUUUCGGUGUUUAGCCGCACGAGAUUGAGCAAUAACAGGUCUGUGAUGCCCUUAGAUGUCCGGGGCUGCACGCGCGCUACACUGGCGAAAUCAGCGUGCUGUAUCCAUUCUCGAAAGGGAUUGGUAAACCCAUGAAAAUUUGCCGUGCUUGGGAUCGGAAAUUGCAAUUAUUUUCCGUGAACGAGGAAUUCCAAGUAAGUGCGAGUCAUCAACUCGCUCUGAAUACGUCCCUGCCCUUUGUAC